CGACUUCUCUCGCUCCGCUUCAGACGUCAACUCCCGGUUCUUCUUGGACAACUCCACGAUCUUGACGGCGGCCGCGUCGCCCGCUAUGCCCGAUGCGCCUGAAACCGACCACUUGGUACAAGUUCUGGAUGAGCAUCUUCUGCGCGGAAAGCUCGCUGCUCAGCGACGGUCCCGAGCUCGGCUGGCUCGGCGCAUUCCGCUUGCCGACGUUUCGGCCCUGGCUUUUAGGAGGAACGCCCGAAUAUUCUUCUUCGUCCACGGUCAACACGCUUGAUGGAGGUGGCCUCAGCUGCUGCUCCAGUGGUCAGCUCUCGGUUCUUUUUGGACAACUCCACGAUCUUGACGGCGGCAGCAUCGCCCGACAUGCCGGACGCGCCUAAAGAGCCACAAAGUGUCCCAAUGCUUAUCGUCAUCGACGUUUUGAUGCUGAAUAGUAGAAGAUGCACCGAUGCAUAUAUUGGACGUCUGUACUCGGACUCGAAAAAAUGCUCCGAUACUCCGACUCCGAUACCACUUUACCAGCCUGACAUACAGAAUACAGUACCUUCACGCCAAGUGGAGGAGGAGCCAUGUCUGCCGUAUGGAACUAAUUUAAGUUUAAAGAGGCGACCGUUGACAUCCGUCAGCUCUCUCAGCUGGUCCAGCAAACGCUGACGCUCGUCUCGUUCCACUCUGCAGGCAUUGAUUGACAAAAGGUCAACGGGGGGGGCUAUAGGUAGCGACUGA
This is a long non-coding RNA of Phyllopteryx taeniolatus (common seadragon), 726 nucleotides long. RefSeq lists it as uncharacterized. The transcript is spliced from 5 exons. NCBI's taxonomy places the organism in Eukaryota, Metazoa, Chordata, Actinopteri, Syngnathiformes, Syngnathidae. The record is from RefSeq and is a predicted model, not a curated record.